AACGAACGCUGGCGGCAUGCCUAACACAUGCAAGUCGAACGGGAUCCUGGCUUCGGCCAGGUGAGAGUGGCGGACGGGUGAGUAACGCGUGGGAACCUGCCCAAUGGUCUGGGAUAACCGCGGGAAACUGCGGCUAAUACCGGAUAAGCCCGAGAGGGGAAAGAUUUAUCGCCGAUGGAGGGGCCCGCGUCCGAUUAGGUAGUUGGUGAGGUAAAGGCUCACCAAGCCGACGAUCGGUAGCUGGUCUGAGAGGAUGAUCAGCCACACUGGGACUGAGAUACGGCCCAGACUCCUACGGGAGGCAGCAGUGGGGAAUAUUGGACAAUGGGGGCAACCCUGAUCCAGCAAUGCCGCGUGAGUGAUGAAGGCCUUAGGGUUGUAAAGCUCUUUUGCCAGGGACGAUGAUGACGGUACCUGGAGAAUAAGCCCCGGCUAACUUCGUGC
This 444-nucleotide ribosomal RNA is filed under the name uncultured bacterium. Its description in RNAcentral is "bacterial SSU rRNA". It matches the Rfam family "Bacterial small subunit ribosomal RNA", at positions 29 to 508 of the family's 1533-position model. The record is from RNAcentral.